GUAUUUAAGUAGAAACCAGCCGUUUCUCACCUUACAGCUAAGGCUAGUAAGGUUAAGUAAAUUUUACUUUAUUUGUUUAAAGGAAUUAGUAUUUUAGGGACGGCAUUACCGUCCCUUUUUUAUAUGUUUUA
This is a regulatory RNA element of Clostridium acetireducens DSM 10703, 131 nucleotides long. It matches the Rfam family "Ribosomal protein L20 leader". From Rfam's summary of the family: This family is a putative r-protein leader autoregulatory structure found in B. subtilis and other low-GC Gram-positive bacteria. It is located in the 5' untranslated regions of mRNAs encoding initiation factor 3 followed by ribosomal proteins L35 and L20 (infC-rpmI-rplT). NCBI's taxonomy places the organism in Bacteria, Bacillati, Bacillota, Clostridia, Eubacteriales, Clostridiaceae. The record is from Rfam.